AGUGAACGCUGGCGGUAGGCCUAACACAUGCAAGUCGAACGGCAGCACAGUAAGAGCUUGCUCUUACGGGUGGCGAGUGGCGGACGGGUGAGGAAUACAUCGGAAUCUACUUUUUCGUGGGGGAUAACGUAGGGAAACUUACGCUAAUACCGCAUACGACCUACGGGUGAAAGCAGGGGAUCUUCGGACCUUGCGCGAUUGAAUGAGCCGAUGUCGGAUUAGCUAGUUGGCGGGGUAAAGGCCCACCAAGGCGACGAUCCGUAGCUGGUCUGAGAGGAUGAUCAGCCACACUGGAACUGAGACACGGUCCAGACUCCUACGGGAGGCGGCAGUGGGGAAUCUUGGACAAUGGGCGCAAGCCUGAUCCAGCAAUACCGCGUGGGUGAAGAAGGCCUUCGGGUUGUAAAGCCCUUUUGUUGGGAAAGAAAAGCAGCAGGUUAAUCCCCCGCUGUUCUGACGGUACCCAAAGAAUAAGCACCGGCUAACUUCGUG
RNAcentral lists this ribosomal RNA (492 nucleotides) under uncultured bacterium. RNAcentral describes it as "partial 16S ribosomal RNA". It matches the Rfam family "Bacterial small subunit ribosomal RNA", at positions 29 to 507 of the family's 1533-position model. The record is from RNAcentral.